RNAcentral lists this ribosomal RNA (534 nucleotides) under Triticum aestivum (bread wheat). Its description in RNAcentral is "partial small subunit ribosomal RNA". Lineage: Eukaryota; Viridiplantae; Streptophyta; Magnoliopsida; Poales; Poaceae. The record is from RNAcentral.
AUGGGGCCUUUUCCUUCCUCUAAUGGGUAUACACAUAUUUUAGUGGUUGUUGAUUACAUUACUAAGUGGGUAGAAGCUAUUCCAACUAGUAGUGCUGAUCAUAAUACCUCUAUUAAGAUGCUUAAAGAAGUUAUUUUUCCGAGGUUUGGAGUCCCUAUAUAUUUAAUGACUGAUGGUGGUUCACAUUUUAUUCAUGGUGCCUUUCGUAAAAUGCUUGCUAAGUAUGAUGUUAAUCAUAGAAUUGGAUCUCCAUAUCACCCACAGUCUAGUGGCCAAGUAGAACUUUGCAAUAGAGAGCUUAAAUUAAUUUUGCAAAAGACUGUUAAUAGAUCUAGAAAGAAUUGGUCCAAGAAACUUGAUGAUGCAUUAUGGGCUUAUAAAACUGCAUAUAAAAAUCCUAUGGGUAUGUCUCCAUAUAAAAUGGUUUAUGGUAAACCAUAUCCCUUACCUCUUGAAUUAGAACAUAAGGCAUAUUGGGCUAUUAAAGAGCUCAACUAUGACUUCAAACUUGCCGGUGAGAAAGAGGCUUUUUGA